This 1233-nucleotide small RNA is filed under the name Vigna angularis var. angularis. RNAcentral's name for it is "Non-protein coding transcript". The record is from RNAcentral. Lineage: Eukaryota; Viridiplantae; Streptophyta; Magnoliopsida; Fabales; Fabaceae.
CAGAAAAUGAAGUGCAAAUUGACCCUCACACCAAGCUUGCAUAUCUUUUUCAAUUAUCGGAUCACAAAUUCUCACUCAUUACUAAGUACACUCUAUGUAACAAUAAAGAGUUAGAUGAGAUACUCGAUAAUCUUCAAAAUUCCCAUUUCACCAACCUUCAAAUUCUUCGGGUAAAUAACUGUGGUGGACAAGCUUUGGAGCUUUUUCUUACUAUAUUAUCAAGAAGGUCACACAAACUCCAAGUUAUCAACAUUGAAGAGUGUUCACUAUUUUAUUUUUGUUCUUAUUCUACUCAAAAUGCGAGGGUUGAAGAUGACAAAAUUUUCAUACAGCUAAAGGAACUAAAAUUAAUAAAACUCGACUUACGCGAAAUUUGGCUCAAUGAUAGUCCAACAGUUAUUGACCUUGGAAACCUACAAAUUUUACACAUCAUAGAUGUUUCCCUUCUCUAUCAAAUAUUUUAUGGUUAUCCAGCCUGGAAGCUUCACCAACUAAAGGAAUUAAUUAUAGAAAAAUGUACAUCCUUAGUGUAUGUUUGUGGUUAUUAUUUUAUUGGAGGUAGUCCAAGAACUAACUUUCCAUCAUUGAGCAAAUUGGAGUUGAAGUCUCUUCCAAACUUGAGACAAAUCUACGAUUGUCAUAUAGAAUUCCCAAGUCUAAAAUAUUUGAUGAUAGCAAAAUGUCCAAACCUGGAAAAAUUCACCUCUGGAUUUGCAGAUCCACGUGGAACCCUUACAACUGAUGGAAAUUCUUUCUUUGAAUUGGAUGAGAUUGUGUUUGAGAGUUAUGACAACUUGGUUUAUGUCAUUUAUUCUGAGACACUAGAAGAGUUGAGGAACUUAAAAAAACUUGUUGUGAGUCACUGUAAGAGAUUGAAAAUAGUAUUUAAUAUUCGUCAAGAAAUAUCUUUUUCCACACACCUUUUAGAACAACUAUGUGAAUUAGCUUUGAUUCAUCUUCCACAGUUAACUUGCAUAGUUAACAGAAAAGUUUUCAAGUUCUACCAAAACCUAAAAGUCCUACAAGUGAAGCAAUGUAAGUCUAUUAAUAUGCUACAAGUUCCUCAAAAACUAACAAAUCUGGAAAUUUGUGAUUGUGAGGCAUUGGAUACAAUUAUUAUCACUAAAGAAGAAGAAGAGGACGGAAUAAAAGAGAAACUCAGCUUUCAUGACUUGAAAGAUGUUUCUCUUGAAAAUCUACCAAGUCUUUCUAUCAUCUUUCCUUCCAUAUCAG